AAGUUCAUGAAUUUUUGCAGAUGUGUCAAGAUAUGGGAUUUUUGUUAGUGGCGCUUGGUUUGAGUGGUGCCCUAGGGCAGGCUUUUAUAUUCGUCACAAUUGCGAAGUUCGGUGCUUUGACAUGUUCCAUAAUUGGAUUGGCACG
RNAcentral lists this non-coding RNA (145 nucleotides) under Thalassionema nitzschioides. Lineage: Eukaryota; Bacillariophyta; Fragilariophyceae; Thalassionematales; Thalassionemataceae. The record is from RNAcentral.